CUCCCUCCCUCCCUCCCUCUCCGUCUCUACCCCUCCCUCCCUCUCUCUCCCCCUCCCUCCCUCCCCCUCUCUCUCUCUCUCUCUCUCUCUCUCUCUCUCUCCCUACCUCUCUCCCCCCCUCCCUCUCCCCCUCCCUCUCUCUGUCCUUGGUGCAGUUUGAGGUUUCAGAUCUGUGGAUCUCAUUCCGAUGGGAUCUGGAUGGUCUGGUUCCUCGGCACGUGGUCUUGAGGGUCUCGGAAACUAGGUUGUGGUGACCUACUUCCUUUUUUUUUUUUUGUACGAGUUUCUGAUGGAGCUAAUGAAGCCUCUUUUCUGUAGCCCUGCUAAAUCGGAUCAAGCUACACAGUGUUACUGUGAAUCUAGGUCAAGGUGAUCUGUUGUAUGACAGGACAGAUACCUGUAUUGUAAGAGAUAGAUAGAUUGAUAGAUAGAUAGAUAGAUAGAUAGAUAGAUAGAUAGGUGUAUAUAUAUAUAUAUAUAUAGAGAGAGAGAGAGAGAGAGAUCGAUAGAUAGAUAGAUAGAUAGAUAGAUAGAUAGAUAGAUAGAUAGAUAGAUAGAUAGAUAGGUGUAUAUAUAUAUAUAUAUAGAGAGAGAGAGAGAGAGAUCGAUAGAUAGAUAGAUAGAUAGAUAGGUAUAUAUAUAUAUAUAUAUAUAAAGAUAGGUGUAUAUAUAUAUAUAUAUAUAUAUAAAGAUAUAGAUACAGAUAGAGAUAGAUAGAUAGAUAGAUAUAGAUACAGAUAUAGAGAUAGAUAGAGUUGCGUCCGCUGGUUGUUUAAAACACGUUCCUGACAUACUGUGAAAAAUGCAGUAAAAGUUCAGAAAAUUCAGAUUCGUUUCUGCUGAAGUGCUAAAUGGCUGCACGUUUCCAGAAAAAACAUAUAAAACCAAACAAACAAAAAUGAAAAGAAGAGUGUUUAAAUUCUUUGUGCGUGCGUGCGUUUUUGUAGUUUGCUUUUGAGUGAGGGAGUUUUAAGAGUUUUGAGAGCACUGAUCCAGUGGCAGCGCUCUGAACUGGGUCGUUCUUUUCUCAGACUCCUUUUGUGCGUCUCAGGCUUAAAAAAAAAACAAAAAACUAAGGGAUACUGCUUCCAAACGGGUCAGUGCUUGAUGCUUGAUGCUUUAGAAAAAUCAUCAGUUUUAAAAAAAAAAAAAAAGUGUGGCAGCUUUUCUAAACCUGGGCUUGGGUUUGAAUCUAAAAUUAACCUCAGGGUUACAUGAACUUUUUCUUUCACAUGCGUAUUUAAAUAUAUAUUCAAAGCGUUCAUACAUUUCCUACAGCAUGGCAUUUGUAUAUAUCCAAAAAUGUGUCAUGCAUCUAAAUCUGUGCGAUACAUUUCAAAAGUCUGAAGCCACGCAUUGGACUUUGGCCUUCGCUCGUAACACUUAGAUUAGCCAGGAAGUGGCACAGGACGCUUCAACCGAGAGCUGGGAAACGUAAUUCAAUCCGCUGUUUUAGAAAACAGGCUGGCCACACUUUUUUUUUUUUGUGGGUGCGUGGGCGGUUCCGUCUGCAUUUUGCAGGAGACGAUCAGAUCUUGGAAAGCGAAAUAUAACCCACCUGAUCUUAAAAAAAAGGUGACAGAAUUCAGGAGGGCCGUGUCUUUGGAAGCUGGCACUUUGCUUGCUAGACAGCCGUCCCAAGACAGCGGUACAGAACACAGGCCUGUUGUGGUGAUCAGUGCCCGUUCCAUCCUCAUCAGGUCUGCCUUGCAGGUUCGGUUUCUAAGACUCUGUGGUUUUUGGUGGGUGUUAUAUUUGUUACAGGGAAGUAGUGGGGAGCAAAUUUUGUAUUUAUUUAUUUUUAUUCUACAAUCCUUUUAUCCAGGAAUUACUUGAGAUUUCUUGAGCAAAAAAAGUGUUCGUUGCACAACCUUAGAGACACCCUAGAGAUGCAAUAAGUUAAUACCUUGUCUUUUUAAAGCUGAAGGGACACGAAGCCACCGCUCUGAGGCUUGGAGCUUCAGGUUUCAGGAGACUGUAGGUUUCAGGGCGCUGCACGGCACACCAGGCAGGGAGACUUGGGGGGGUUUGAUACAGCAAACCUCAAACUAGGUCUCCCGGGGGUCUCCCGGAACCAGCUUUCAAGCUCCUGAGAAAGUGGCUUCGUGUUCAUUUCUGCUUUACUGUUACAAGAGAUUGCGCAGUUUGUUUGACCUUGCAGAAGGAUUUAUUUUAAAAUGAGACGCGCCAACAAUGCAUUCACUUAUUAUAAAUCACAAAACGCAGGUUGUAGCGCUCCGAAACCUUGAUUUUAAAGCCGUUGUUAUUUCACCGGUGUCCUGUUCUGUUGCAUGAUCUAUACACAGGAUAAGAUGUACUGGAAUGUUUUUAUUUAUUUUUAAUAUACAAAUCCUUAACAGUGAUUUCUUGUCAAUGAUUUCUAAGUGAUCGCAUUCUGAGGUACCCCCACGUGCAACGGACCGGAUCCGUUCUACCUUUUUGAUUUGAGAAUCUCAAUUAAUUACACCUUAAACGAGUGAAGGGGGGGGGGGGGGUCUGAAAAUGAGAACAUUUAGCCCAUCCCUAGUUGCAGGUUCCUGCAGCCAUAGCCAGCGCAAUCAGAACUUUUUCAUGGUAGUUUCUAGGGAAUAGUGUUAUUUUUCUAGACCCUAGAAAUUAUUAUUAUUAUUUUUUUUUUUUUUACCAGAUCCUGAGCAAGCUAAAAAAAAAAAAAUCCUCCCUAAACUGGUCUAACUACCCACCAAAGUCCGAUUUUUGUCUUUUAAAACAAAAGGAAUCUGCCGAGUUUUUAACAGACCAGCCUCUGUUCUGAAUCCCCACCAAGCACUGGCUCCAGAGCUCCAUUCUAUUGAACUUUGACAACUUUGCCUCCAUUGAGUUUUAGAAGCAACUAAACACAGUGUGAUCUAUCUGAAUGACAAUCUAUAAGAGAGUAAACAGACCCCUGUUCAAUGUGUAAUGAUAUGUUCCUAGAAUACCAUUUAUUUUCUUGUGUUUAAUUUGUGCUGGUGACAGUUAUAUUGUACAUUAUUUUUAAAGAAAAGAAACCAUAUUUUUUUUCUGUUUUGUGUAGGGUAGUCUUGUUUUAUUAUGAUUAUUAUUAUUAUUAUUAUUAUUAUUAUUAUUAUUAUUAUUAUUAUUAUUAUAUAAAUAUAUAUAUUUUUUUGUUUUUGUUUCUUAAAAGGGGUGUUGCUAAAAUUGCACGGUUUCUAAAACGAGCGUAAUUAUAAUAUUAGUAAAUAAUAAUAAUACAUAAAUAAAAAAAUAAAUAAAAAAUACAAAGUUUUAAAAAUACCAGAAUUUCAAUGCUGCAUUUUUUUUUUUUAAGUGUAAAAGUGUACAAGCUUAGAAGUGACAAUUAUGGAGUUAAUUUAUUUCUUGAAAACAUAUAAAAUGGAAAAUAAAAGAUUUGUAUAAUGUAAAUGCAUGGGAUUUAAAAAAAAAAAAAAACUGCAAAAAAAUGAAACGUAUAGAAAAUAUAUAUAUAUAAACCUCAAAAGAAAAAAAACUGUAGCUUAAAAAAAAACAUUUUUCAAAGAAGAAAAAAAUAUAGCUAAUAUAUUGUGUUCGGCUAAAAAAAAAGAGUCUGCUUUUCUGUUUUGUUGUUUUAAAAAAAAAGGUUUCUUCGUUGUUUUUGGAGAACGAUAUACCGUUUGUGUAUAUUUUCAUAAACAAAGUAUGCACUGAUAUGUUAUAAAAAAAUAAUAAUUCUAUACUGCUUUUACAAAAAAAAAAAAGUGUUUGUAAUUGUACCAAAGUAUCCAUUUUUGUUCCUUGAGACCUGCCCUUUUUUGCGUAUGUUUGACCGUAUUUUAUAUAUUAAAUAGACAAGCUGACCUGAAA
Acipenser ruthenus (sterlet) is the source of this 3804-nucleotide long non-coding RNA. RefSeq lists it as uncharacterized. The record is from RefSeq and is a predicted model, not a curated record. NCBI's taxonomy places the organism in Eukaryota, Metazoa, Chordata, Actinopteri, Acipenseriformes, Acipenseridae. The transcript has 2 exons.